Molecule: long non-coding RNA, 293 nt
Organism: Mytilus trossulus (common blue mussel)
Lineage: Eukaryota; Metazoa; Mollusca; Bivalvia; Mytilida; Mytilidae
Exons: 3
Source: RefSeq, a predicted model, not a curated record
CCACUUGUGCCAAUGCAGACGGAUCUUACCUUUGGAGACCAAAUAGCGAAGCAGAAGCUUAUGCUGUCAGAGAUAAGUUUAAUCUUUCAACGCAAACGGAUAUAUGGACGGGUGCAAAUGAUCAUGAUUCAGACGGAAAUUUUGAAUUUGAAACUGACGUUGGUACAUUUUCAUUCGAUACUCCUCUAUUUGGAGAAGAAAACCUGUCCAGUACCAACUUGGCGAUAGUCAUACUCAUACCAAGAGACGAAUAUUUCUGAUGCAGAAUGAAAUAAAAUAAAUGAUCGAAAUUA